GUAAUGAAAAAACCACCAUCAGUUAAAUUUGAUCCAAAAAUAUUGCAUCUACCAGCAUUUUCAGUGGAUAAGUUAUAAUUUCUGAAAGACCAAGAUUGGAAUGACUUUUUUGCAACAAGUGUGCUCACAGAUCGACUCCAUUGCGAAGAGCUCGAGGACCUCCUGAGCCAAGCUUAAUCUCCUUUGCUGUUUGUGCGUGGUGGCUGGUCACCAGGAGGUGGCCACCAGGCUCCUCCAUUCCCCACUGUUCCAAUUGCUAAUCCAGCAUUCGCAGAUAGCUCUAAACUGCGAUAUAAGUGACAUACCAGGUAGAAAGCACCAUAGAUCAAGUGUUAGAAGGCUCUGGGUUCCGGUUGCCUAUAAGACUCAGACAAAUGAUUAUCUUUUUCUCAUUCUCUGUUUCCUGGGGAGGGUGGGUGGAACAAGGAAAUGGCAUAGGUUUAGGAUUCAGACAGACCUGGGUGUGGAUCAAAGAUCUGCUUUCUGGGCCAAUUACUUUAAUUGCUGAGCCGCAGUUUCCUCAUCUAUAAAAUUGGGAUGGGGAUGAGAUAACCACUUCAUAGAUUUUUGGUAAUUAUUCCACUUUGAAUGAGGUAAAUAUAUGAGAUACUUUAUAUAGUGCCUGAUUCUUAGUGGGUAUUUCAUUUACAGUGGGGUUGGGGUUGUAGAAGUUGCAGUUAUUAUCAUGAAGCUUGCUUAUCUCAUGAUUGUUAGGACAAGCACAUGAAAAAUCGGAGGUGAAAGGAUUUUGUGAAUUGUGGCAGUAGUAUAAUAAUUAUUCUUCUAUGCUGGUAAAAUAUGGGUGAAACAAUAGGAGUUUAGAAAAUGCUUAAUAAUAAGGGUAAUUCUUAUUAUACAUCUUGUAAUGUUACUGUCCCAAAGUAAAAUCUGGUAAUAGAAAGUAGGAUUUAAUACUUUGAGCAUUUAAUACUUUGAGAAGGCUGAUGGUAUGCUCAUUAAAAAUGAAUCAAUGAAAUAUUUAUUUAAACACUUUUAUUUAAAACGUGUUAUAUCUUUGAAUGGGGUGCCCCCUGCUAACAUUUUCAAACAGAUAUCCCAAAUCAUUUCCAAGUACAGUUAUCCCUCUGUAUCAGCCCGGAGACUGGUUCUAGUAUCCCCUUGGAUACCAAAAUUCACACAUACUAUUUUUCCUCUGCUUUUAAUGAAGUUUGAUUGUAAAACUGUUUUAAUUUGAAUAAAAUGAUACUGAGGUAGACAA
Long non-coding RNA from Pongo pygmaeus (Bornean orangutan), 1219 nucleotides. RefSeq lists it as uncharacterized. Lineage: Eukaryota; Metazoa; Chordata; Mammalia; Primates; Hominidae. The transcript is spliced from 4 exons. The record is from RefSeq and is a predicted model, not a curated record.